RNAcentral lists this ribosomal RNA (587 nucleotides) under uncultured bacterium. RNAcentral's name for it is "partial 16S ribosomal RNA". It matches the Rfam family "Bacterial small subunit ribosomal RNA", at positions 355 to 1375 of the family's 1533-position model. The record is from RNAcentral.
UGGGGAAUUUUGGACAAUGGGCGAAAGCCUGAUCCAGCAAUGCCGCGUGUGUGAAGAAGGCCUUCGGGUUGUAAAGCACUUUUGUCCGGAAAGAAAUCCUUGGCUCUAAUACAGUCGGGGGAUGACGGUACCGGAAGAAUAAGCACCGGCUAACUACGUGCCAGCAGCCGCGGUAAUACGUAGGGUGCAAGCGUUAAUCGGAAUUACUGGGCGUAAAGCGUGCGCAGGCGGUUUGCUAAGACCGAUGUGAAAUCCCCGGGCUCAACCUGGGAACUGCAUUGGUGACUGGCAGGCUAGAGUAUGGCAGAGGGGGGUAGAAUUCCACGUGUAGCAGUGAAAUGCGUAGAGAUGUGGAGGAAUACCGAUGGCGAAGGCAGCCCCCUGGGCCAAAUACUGACACUCAUGCACGAAAGCGUGGGGAGCAAACAGGAUUAGAUACCCUGGUAGUCCACGCCCUAAACGAUGUCAACUAGUUGUUGGGGAUUCAUUUCCUUAGUAACGUAGCUAACGCGUGAAGUUGACCGCCUGGGGAGUACGGUCGCAAGAUUAAAACUCAAAGGAAUUGACGGGGUCAUAGCUGUUUUCCU